RNAcentral lists this ribosomal RNA (498 nucleotides) under Triticum aestivum (bread wheat). Its description in RNAcentral is "partial small subunit ribosomal RNA". The record is from RNAcentral. Lineage: Eukaryota; Viridiplantae; Streptophyta; Magnoliopsida; Poales; Poaceae.
CAACUCAGGACUGCAAGGCAAAUCACAAUCCAUCAGACUGCAACAACCCUCAUAGCAGAUGCAGCUAGCAAAGAUGAGAUCCAGGCGAGGGUUCCACAUCUAAAGAAGUAGCUCUUUGAAACUAAUUCCAUAUAUGAUUAUGAGUAGUUGGUUGAGAGAGUUGCAAAACUUUCUGGUGGUGUGGCCAUCAUCAAGGUUGGAGCGACAACCGAGCCAGAGCUUGAGGACCGGAAAAUGCAGAUCGAGGACGCGUAGAAUUCCACCUUUGCGGCCAUCCAGGAGGGCAUUGUUCUCGAUAGUGGCUUGACUUAUGUGCAUGUGUCUACCUAUGUCCGUGUGAUCAAAUAAAGAAUCAAAGACCAUGAUGGUCGCCUUGAUGCCGACAUCAUUCUCAAGGUAACUUGCUUAGAUAUAAAUCCGUUAAAUGGGUUGAACUACAUUGAUCUCUUUCAUGGCAACCAGUUGGUAGAAAUUGUAUUUACCAGAGAACUGACCUGA